GCACUCACCUAUCCACUAAACAGCAACUUCAAUCUUUCAACAUUGAAGUUGCUGUUUAGUGGAUAGGUGAGUGC
This is a non-coding RNA of Pelobates cultripes (western spadefoot toad), 74 nucleotides long. The record is from the annotation of a GenBank genome assembly. NCBI's taxonomy places the organism in Eukaryota, Metazoa, Chordata, Amphibia, Anura, Pelobatidae.